AGAUUCUUGGGCAAAGUUGUUUUAGCGAUCUGGUUGCAACUAAGUAUUGGAGUUGUUGUGCCUUGAAGCUAGAAACUGCCUUGAAUUUCUACAUAGGGAAAUGUAAUCUAUUGCUUUCUUACAGGGGAGGCAGAUGAUGAAUAAAUGAACAAAAAAUAUAAUAAUGGAUAUGUAUUUAUAAGUGCUAUGAAGAGAAGAAAUCCAAGCAAGAAGAGAGUGAAAUGAGGUAUCCUGUAAGAACAAAUUGCUGCCUCCUCCAGGUGGAAAGGGAUCAAAUAUAAUUAAUCUGUGUGUGCCACACAGUAGCUUGAUAGUUUAAUUGAGGAAUGUUGACAUAUUGAGAGCUCAGCAUUACUUUCUGCUAUCAGCAGUGACGGCAUAAGAGCUGUAUCCUAACUGCACUGCUGAAUUUGGGCUUCCUGUGGGGGCACGGCAAGUGCCCUCUUUGAGAGUGAGGAGGCUGAGAGUCUCACACCAACAGGAAUGAGUGCUUUGAAAUUAACUGGUGUUUGGAAAUUGAUCUGAAGCCAGUGCCUGGGAUUCUGAGAUGCAGCCACAUCAUAAAGUUUCAUUACUCAAUUGCAGUAGAGAAAACCUCAAAGGAACCACUUCUAAUGGAAACUGCCUCAAUUCCUGGUCAAGUCUCACAGUCUAACCUGGAGGUGCUCUGAGAUGUGACUAAGUUAAGGAUUUUGAGAUGAAGAGACCAUCCUGAAUUAUCUGAGUGGGUCCUGAAUGUCAUCACAAGAAGCCUUAGAAGAGAGAAGCAUGAAAACCAGAAGAGGAGGAAGAGGCAACCGGGCCAUGAAGACAAGAGAUUAGAGUGAUGUGGCCACAAGUCAAGAAGUGCCGGCCUCCAGCAAAAAACUGGAAGUCAGGAGCAGGAUCUCUCCUAGAGCCUGUGGAGGGAAUGUAACCCUGCCAAUAACUUGAUUUUGGCCCAGAGAAACUGACUUCAGACUUCUGGCCUUCAGGAUGGCGAGAGAAUUAAAUCGCUGUUGUUUUUAGCCCAGUAUGUGGUAAUUUUGUUACAACAGCCACAGAAAACUAGUACAGUGGAUUUUUAGCAGUAGAAUUAAAUUAGCAGUGGAUUAAAGAGCAGUAGAAUUGUGAUUUUAUCAACACUUACUGGAUGGCAGAUUUCCUCUGCAGCAGAAGAGAAUAAAAUGUUGCCUAGGUGAUGCUGACCACCAAAACUUCUGCCAUGGACUCAGCAGUGUGAACAGACCCUGGGAAUCUAUGUACACAUAAAACACCAUGAACAUUUUGCAUUUUCUGAUUUGAACUGAAUAGGCGUUCUACUCUGUAAAUAUUUACAAAAAAACUAAAUAUAUAUUUAUGUUAACCCUUUGCUAGAGAUUUUUAAACAAACAAAAAAAUACCAGAUCUUAUUCACCAUUUUUGAUGUCAGUAAAGUGUGUUACGCAAAUUGGCUUCAAAAAUUAAAACCUGUAACAAACUUUGAGUCUUGAAAUGCAUGCUAUGUAUGAUCUUAAAAACAUGUAGGUAGGCUUAUUAGUUCAUAGAGGUUCAUAGUAUUUCAUAUGUUUUUCAGACUAUAUGUAGGGAAUUGCUGACAAAUCUUGGUAUCACUAAAUCCAUUAUCAUGUUCUGAAAUGUCACCAAAUUGAGCCUACAUAUUGUGAAGAGUGAGUGUAUGGCCAUAUAGUGUAUGGCCUCAAGAUUUUGUCUUAUAAUUUAAGUUUCAAUGUCCACACCUCAUCUAAAUUAGGGUACCAUUUGGACUAUCAUGUUUAAUAAAUUUACC
Molecule: long non-coding RNA, 1768 nt
Organism: Homo sapiens (human)
Lineage: Eukaryota; Metazoa; Chordata; Mammalia; Primates; Hominidae
Source: Ensembl